AUUGCUUGAGGUGGUGGAUUUCGUGGCAACCACACACCCUAUGGGUCAAAAGAGUAGCGGGAGAAUGCAACGCCCGCCAAGGAAU
This 85-nucleotide non-coding RNA is filed under the name unclassified sequences. RNAcentral describes it as "skipping-rope RNA". It matches the Rfam family "skipping-rope RNA". Rfam says of the family: Firmicutes, Fusobacteria, AlphaProteobacteria, Spirochaetes. Downstream gene The record is from RNAcentral.